This 440-nucleotide ribosomal RNA is filed under the name uncultured bacterium. RNAcentral's name for it is "partial 16S ribosomal RNA". It matches the Rfam family "Bacterial small subunit ribosomal RNA", at positions 338 to 795 of the family's 1533-position model. The record is from RNAcentral.
CCUACGUGUGGCAGCCGUGGGGAAUAUUGCACAAUGGGGGAAACCCUGAUGCAGCGACGCCGCGUGAGGGAAGAAGUAAUUCGUUACGUAAAGCUCUAUCAGCAGGGAAGAAAAUGACGGUACCUGUGUAAGAAGCCCCGGCUCAAUACGUGACAGCCGCCGCGGUAAUAUGUAGGGGGCAAGCGUUAUCCGGAUUUACUGGGUGUAAAGGGGGCGUAGACGGUGCGACAAGUCUGGAGUGAAAUGCCGCAGCUGAACUGCGGCCCUGCUUUGGAAACUGGCGAACUGGAGUGCGGGAGGGGGAAGCGGAAUUCCGGGUGUAGCGGUGAAAUGCGUAGAUAUUAGGAGGAACACCGGGGGCGAAGGCGGCUUACUGGACCGCAACUGACGUUGAGGCUCGAAAGCGUGGGGAGCAAACAGGAUUAGAUACCCCUGUAGUC